AUUGAACGCUGGCGGAGUGCUUUACACAUGCAAGUCGAGCGGCAGCGCGGGGGCAACCCUGGCGGCGAGCGGCGAACGGGUGAGUAAUACAUCGGAACGUGUCCUUAAGUGGGGGAUAGCUCGGCGAAAGCCGGAUUAAUACCGCAUAAGCUCUGAGGAGGAAAGCGGGGGCUCCGUAAGGACCUCGCGCUGUUGGAGCGGCCGAUGUCGGAUUAGCUAGUUGGUGGGGUAAAGGCCCACCAAGGCGACGAUCCGUAGCUGGUCUGAGAGGAUGAUCAGCCACACUGGAACUGAGACACGGUCCAGACUCCUACGGGAGGCAGCAGUGGGGAAUUUUGGACAAUGGGGGCAACCCUGAUCCAGCCAUUCCGCGUGAGUGAAGAAGGCCU
RNAcentral lists this ribosomal RNA (389 nucleotides) under uncultured bacterium. Its description in RNAcentral is "bacterial SSU rRNA". It matches the Rfam family "Bacterial small subunit ribosomal RNA", at positions 29 to 417 of the family's 1533-position model. The record is from RNAcentral.